CAGCCGCCGCGGUAAUACGUAGGUGGCGAGCGUUGUCCGGAAUUACUGGGCGUAAAGGGUGCGUAGGCGGUUUUCUAAGUGGGAUGUGAAAUCCUGAGGCUUAACUUCAGAAUUGCAUUUCAAACUGGAAGGCUAGAGUACAGGAGAGGAAAGCGGAAUUCCCAGUGUAGCGGUGAAAUGCGUAGAGAUUGGGAGGAACACCAGUGGCGAAGGCGGCUUUCUGGACUGUAACUGACGCUGAGGCACGAAAGCGUGGGGAGCAAACAGGAUUAGAUACCCUGGUAGUCCACGCUGUAAACGAUGAAUACUAGGUGUGGGGGGCUAAGCCCUCUGUGCCGCAGUUAACACAUUAAGUAUUCCGCCUGGGGAGUACGAUCGCAAGAUUAAAACUCAAAGGAAUUGACGGGGACCCGCACAAGCAGCGGAGCAUGUGGUUUAAUUCGAUGCAACGCGAAGAACCUUACCAAGGCUUGACAUCUAAAGAAUCUAAUAGAGAUAUUGGAGUGCCCCGAAAGGGGAGCUUUAAGACAGGUGGUGCAUGGCC
Molecule: ribosomal RNA, 544 nt
Filed under: uncultured archaeon
Lineage: Archaea
Description: bacterial SSU rRNA
Rfam family: Bacterial small subunit ribosomal RNA
Source: RNAcentral